UACGUUGGUGGCAAGCGUUGUCCGGAAUUAUUGGGCGUAAAGCGCGCGCAGGCGGUCCUUUAAGUCUGAUGUGAAAGCCCACGGCUCAACCGUGGAGGGUCAUUGGAAACUGGGGGACUUGAGUACAGAAGAGAAGAGUGGAAUUCCACGUGUAGCGGUGAAAUGCGUAGAGAUGUGGAGGAACACCAGUGGCGAAGGCGACUCGCUGGACCGGUCCUGACGCUCAGGCGCGAAAGCGUGGGGAGCGAUCCGG
Molecule: ribosomal RNA, 253 nt
Filed under: uncultured bacterium
Lineage: Bacteria
Description: partial 16S ribosomal RNA
Rfam family: Bacterial small subunit ribosomal RNA
Source: RNAcentral